GAGUGAACGCUGGCGGUAGGCCUAACACAUGCAAGUCGAACGGCAGCACAGUAAGAGCUUGCUCUUACGGGUGGCGAGUGGCGGACGGGUGAGGAAUACAUCGGAAUCUACUUUUUCGUGGGGGAUAACGUAGGGAAACUUACGCUAAUACCGCAUACGACCUACGGGUGAAAGCAGGGGAUCUUCGGACCUUGCGCGAUUGAAUGAGCCGAUGUCGGAUUAGCUAGUUGGCGGGGUAAAGGCCCACCAAGGCGACGAUCCGUAGCUGGUCUGAGAGGAUGAUCAGCCACACUGGAACUGAGACACGGUUCAGACUCCUACGGGAGGCAGCAGUGGGGAAUAUUGGACAAUGGGCGCAAGCCUGAUCCAGCCAUACCGCGUGGGUGAAGAAGGCCUUCGGGUUGUAAAGCCCUUUUGUUGGGAAAGAAAAGCAGCAGGUUAAUACCCCGCUGUUCUGACGGUACCCAAAGAAUAAGCACCGGCUAACUUCGUG
This 493-nucleotide ribosomal RNA is filed under the name uncultured bacterium. RNAcentral's name for it is "partial 16S ribosomal RNA". It matches the Rfam family "Bacterial small subunit ribosomal RNA", at positions 27 to 507 of the family's 1533-position model. The record is from RNAcentral.